CCCGCGGACCUUGACAAACCUUUGUAUUCCAUGUCAUGCUUAUUAGAAAACCGAGAGACAAUACAACCAGUAGCGUUGGAUCCCUUGGCACGUCGUUCGAUGAAGACCGUUGCAAAAUGCGAUAAGUGGUGUGAUAUGCAAGUCCAAAACUUAUACGUGAACCAUCGAAUUGUUGAACGCACUGCAUCGAGCCUUAUCCAGGAACGAUACGCCCCAUUGAGCGUCAUUAUGUCUUCGCGACUUGUUGCUUUUCACAGAGCGAUCUGUCCGGGCUCGGGAUUCACGACCCUUGGGUCGCGCUUCCUCAGAUACAUUGGCUGCGCCGGCGUGAACGGCGACCUUGUCAUGAAUGUCGAGGUGUGCCGUGAGCUCUGCAUGCAGGAUCCUUCGCAACGUCGAUGGAUCAGACGCGUUCCGGCCUCUGAGCCGGGAUUGCAACUUCUCCACAUGACCUCACGGGGGUGGGACGACCCGCUAGACUUAAGCAUAUUAAUCAGCGGAGGAAAAGAAACUAACAAGGAUUCCCCCAGUAACUGCGAGUGAAGAGGGAUUA
RNAcentral lists this ribosomal RNA (553 nucleotides) under uncultured Tulasnellaceae. RNAcentral's name for it is "eukaryotic LSU rRNA". The stretch from base 65 to 226 matches the Rfam family "5.8S ribosomal RNA". Lineage: Eukaryota; Fungi; Basidiomycota; Agaricomycetes; Cantharellales; Tulasnellaceae. The record is from RNAcentral.